RNAcentral lists this ribosomal RNA (407 nucleotides) under uncultured bacterium. RNAcentral describes it as "partial 16S ribosomal RNA". It matches the Rfam family "Bacterial small subunit ribosomal RNA", at positions 30 to 526 of the family's 1533-position model. The record is from RNAcentral.
AUUGAACGCUGGCGGCAGGCCUAACACAUGCAAGUCGAGCGGAGCGACGGACGGGGGAGUAAUGCAUAGGCAUCUGCCUGGUCGUGGGGGAUAACGUCCGGAAACGGGCGCUAAUACCGCAUACUAUCAGAUGAGUCUAGGUCUGAUUAGCUAGUUGGUGGGGUAAAGGCCUACAAAGGGGACGAUCCGUAACUGGUCUGAGAGGAUGAUCAUGCACAGUGGAACUGAGACCCGGUCCAGACUCCUACGGGAGGCAGCAGUGGGGAAUAUUGGACAAUGGGCGAAAGCCUGAUCCAGCCAUGCCGCGUGUGUGAAGAAGGUCUUCGGAUUGUAAAGCACUUUAAGUUGGGAGGCGUUACCAACAGAAUAAGCACCGGCUAACUUCGUGCCAGCAGCCGCGGUAAUUC